CUAUGCCUACGGGGGGCAGCAGUGGGGAAUAUUGCACAAUGGGGGAAACCCUGAUGCAGCAACGCCGCGUGAGUGAAGAAGGUUUUCGGAUUGUAAAGCUCUGUUAGCAGGGAAGAGGAAGGACAGUACCUGCAGAGGAAGCCACGGCUAACUACGUGCCAGCAGCCGCGGUAAUACGUAGGUGGCAAGCGUUGUUCGGCAUAACUGGGCGUAAAGGAUGCGUAGGCGGUUAAACAAGUUAUAUGUUAAAUAUAUAGUCUUAACCUGUAGAAAGCAUUUCAACUGUUUAACU
RNAcentral lists this ribosomal RNA (292 nucleotides) under uncultured bacterium. RNAcentral describes it as "partial 16S ribosomal RNA". It matches the Rfam family "Bacterial small subunit ribosomal RNA", at positions 333 to 642 of the family's 1533-position model. The record is from RNAcentral.